RNAcentral lists this unclassified non-coding RNA (299 nucleotides) under uncultured Sordariomycetes. RNAcentral's name for it is "sequence contains ITS1". The stretch from base 1 to 105 matches the Rfam family "5.8S ribosomal RNA", at positions 50 to 154 of the family's 154-position model. Lineage: Eukaryota; Fungi; Ascomycota; Sordariomycetes. The record is from RNAcentral.
GAAAUGCGAUAAGUAAUGUGAAUUGCAGAAUUCAGUGAAUCAUCGAAUCUUUGAACGCACAUUGCGCCCGCCAGCACUCUGGCGGGCAUGCCUGUUCGAGCGUCAUUUCAACCCUCAAGCCCGGCUUGGUGUUGGGGUCCCACGGCCGCCGUGGGCCCUGAAAAUUAGUGGCGGGCCCGCCGAGGCUCCGAGCGCAGUAGCUUAACCUCGCUCGCGGUGCCGCGGCGGGCGUCGGCCGUAAAAACCCCCACUUUUGCAAGGUUGACCUCGGAUCAGGUAGGAAUACCCGCUGAACUUAA